Molecule: non-coding RNA, 647 nt
Organism: Phoenix dactylifera (date palm)
Lineage: Eukaryota; Viridiplantae; Streptophyta; Magnoliopsida; Arecales; Arecaceae
Source: RefSeq, a predicted model, not a curated record
UUCUCCCCUCUGCUAUUGGGAUUGCGAUCGCGAUCCCACGGGCGAUCCCACAGGCAAUCGCGAUCGCGAUCCUGCGGCUGAUCCCACGAUCGAUCUCCCUCGCAAUCCCACGAACCCGCAGGUGAUGGCGAUCGCGAGCUGCGAGCGGGAUCGCGAUCGCGAUCUUCUUCUCCACAACGAUCGCAGCGGAUAACAGCGAACGCGAUCUUCUUCUCCACAGCAAUCUUUCUUGAAUUCAUUCUUUUUUUCGGAUCUGCAAGUAUUAUCUGUUUCUCUUUUUUUGUUUCCAGUUGGUUCUAAAUAGGACAAGCAGUCGCGAUCACGAUCUUCUUCUCCACAACGAUCAUGGGGGAUAACAACAAUCGCGAUCUUCUUCUCCUCAGCGAUCUUUCUUGAAUUCAUUCUUUGUUUUGGAUCUAUUUGAUCACAUGUUUUGCUGGAGUAGUGGAGAUUAUGUUGGAGAUUAACAUCUCCACAAACUAUCUUAUUAAAUAUAUUUUUUCAGCCAACAUCUCUUUAACAAAAGAAUGUAAUUUAUCAAGAUUCCCAUGUUACACAUAAUCCUUUCAUUCUUUAUCUCUGGUUUCUCACAAAUAGUGCAACAUUCUUUUGUUAAUGAUGUUUGUCUCAUUUUGUGGUGAUCUACA